UACGUAGGGUGCAAGCGUUGUCCGGAAUUAUUGGGCGUAAAGAGCUCGUAGGCGGUCUGUCGCGUCGGCUGUGAAAACCCGGAGCUCAACUCCGGGCCUGCAGUCGAUACGGGCAAACUGGAGUACUGCAGGGGAGACUGGAAUUCCUGGUGUAGCGGUGAAAUGCGCAGAUAUCAGGAAGAACACCCGUGGCUAAGGCGGCUCUCUAGUACGGUACUGACGCUGAGACGCGAAAGCGUGGGGAGCGAACAGG
This 253-nucleotide ribosomal RNA is filed under the name uncultured bacterium. RNAcentral describes it as "partial 16S ribosomal RNA". It matches the Rfam family "Bacterial small subunit ribosomal RNA", at positions 524 to 776 of the family's 1533-position model. The record is from RNAcentral.